AUACGGAGGGUGCAAGCGUUAAUCGGAAUUACUGGGCGUAAAGCGCACGUAGGCGGCUUGUUAAGUCAGAUGUGAAAGCCCCGGGCUCAACCUGGGAACUGCAUUUGAUACUGGCAGGCUAGAGUAUGGUAGAGGCAAGUGGAAUUCCGGGUGUAGCGGUGAAAUGCGUAGAUAUCCGGAGGAACACCAGUGGCGAAGGCGGCUAACUGGGGCAAUACUGACGCUGAGGCACGAAAGCGUGGGGAGCAAACAGGAUUAGAUACCCUAGUAGUCC
RNAcentral lists this ribosomal RNA (274 nucleotides) under uncultured bacterium. RNAcentral's name for it is "partial 16S ribosomal RNA". It matches the Rfam family "Bacterial small subunit ribosomal RNA", at positions 523 to 796 of the family's 1533-position model. The record is from RNAcentral.